CCUGAAUUCCAACACAAUUUAGGAGAGAUCGAUCAGUGACCGAGACAUUUUUUUUUUUUUUUUUGUUAAGGAAUUUUCUAUUAUUAAAGUGCUGAUUGUUUUCCGAGUAUUCCAAUGGUGUUCGAGCCUUUCCGGGAUUGGCCAGAUUCUAAUUCUGUUAUUCCUUUCUUACCGAACGGCCGAGGAAGAUGUACGAAGCGGUUGAUAAGUACGAGUCCUGUGUAACCGGCGCUCAAGUGCAAUUGUAAAUCCACGGUACAAAGAUAUUCGCACUACGUAACAAAUGACGAUUUUACAUUUUUGUGAAUUGACAAAAAGGUAUUCGUGAGAUGCUGUUUCAAUUCCGCUUCUUAUUUAAAUCUAUUUCUAGUAACUUUGCGAAUCGAGUACACCUACGAAAGAGCAUCGGCUGUAAACCGAAUAUCUGAACAUUUAGUUUUGAAGAACAGAGGAACGUAUCCUACAAAGGGACAAGGGGACAAGUAUUGUCAAGGUUCACAAUUCACAUCACAAUUCGAGUAUUACAGAUGGUCUGCAAACUUGUACCAUACUGUACUUGUACUGUAUAUGUCGAAGAACUUGCAUACGUCGCAGGGCAGAUUCAAUGUUGCGAAUGGAUUUCAACGUUGAACGCGCAGGUACUGACAUGACCGAUCCGCAAAACGUCAACCACUUAAGAACGUUGGGUAAGAAGACUUUUGGAAGAGUUGAGCAACGACGAAACAUCUAUCUCUUAAGAGGCCAGACAUAACGAACUCCGGUCGUGUUUCACAUACAAUCCGUAACAAUCUGACCCAGAAAAAUCUAACAGCCUUACCUGCCCUAUUUUUAGAUCUAAAACGCCGAAAUCUUCGCGUCUAAUCUCGCAGUUACACUUGAAGUAAAAGUAAAGCGAUAUACGCUGUGAAUCACGCCGGAUCAAAAAUUAAUUGACAGGCGUUUCGUUUUAGAAGAGCGAGAGGAACGUGAAUGAUUUUCAACUUCGCCGUCGACCUUGCAACGAAUUAUGUUUCACCUUGUCCUCGUUUUUUUUUUUUUUUUUUUAUUUUUUUUUUUUUUCCUCAUGGAAGAAUCUACCCGGUGCCCGAGAAGAAAAUAGCGGAAAAUUUCAUGCAACGUUGAUGGAAGCGGAAACCGCAUUGCGUUCCAUCCGAUCAAUCAGAUGGAUAUCGAUUUGUUUCGCUUCUCCGUGUGGAAUAAAUUACAAUGGAGAGAAGGAAACUUCGCCGUUGAUACUCCAGCUGUCAAAUUCCACGAAGAAGAACGGGAAUACAAAACGAAGAAAUGCCAGAGGUUACUGGGUCAUGCUAAAAAAAAAAGGCAGGCCGACCUUGAGCCGGCGAAACAAAAAAAGUAGCUACCCGCGCGCUGCUUGAUACUUGGAACGCGUGUUAUCGUUUUAAUCGUUUUAAUUACUACACGUUGAUUAGGUCAACUCAAUGAAAGAUCAACGACUUAGAGAAACUUAGCAAAUAAUUUGUUAACGUAUACCAAAGCAGUCUGAAUUUUUAUGUUUUUCCAUUUCUGUCUUUUUUUUUUGUCACCUUAUAUCGCACGACAGAUUCCAGUUACGCUUAAUUCCUUCCCUUAAAGAUUAAAUCUUUUCAAAGAAAAUAAAAAAAAAUUGAAGCGUAAAUUUCGAGCAGAGAAUACGGACGAAAUGUGAAAUUAUGUGUUAAGAUGUACAUCACAUAGAUAAAUAACCAAUGAAGUUAAUCAACAAACGCUGAUUCUAAAUUCGUAAGCUCGUAAAUAUAUUUUUUAUCAAGUGAGAGAAUGAUAGAUAUUUGUUAGUCAAUAGGCAAGAUGUAAUCAGUGAUAAAAUCGCGUGUCUUAUCUCGAAACGAAAUGCAAAAGAAGAUUGAAAUUAGGAAACUGCAUUACCAACCCAAUGAUGGCGUAAAAAUCGCGCGCCCAACGUCCAAGAAAAUCCACCUCUCUGCCAAAUACCUAGCGUCAAGAAAGCAACUACCAUUUUUCCCUUUGGUUUUGGCAGCCAUCCGAGUUUUCACCGGAAUACACAUCAGACGCGCAAAACCAAUAUGAGGAACAUCUUGAAUUUCAUCGAAGAUCGUGUAACGAGUAAGAUUAUUCGCUUUUCCUUUAAAUGCCCCGAUCAAUUCAUUUAGCAGAAUAUCGUUGAAUUUCAUUUCGAAGUUUUAUUACACGUGAUAACAAGAUGACCAAGCUUAAUAAUUUGCAAGUUUCUUUUCUCCGAUUUGCAGAAGGUCAAACGCCACGAGAAAAAAUACAUUGCGUGCGUGGAGAGGAGCAUCUCGCGGAGAAAUUAUGAUGAAGAUCAUUACAAGUCAUCUCUUAUGUGUUUCACAGAGUCAAUAAUAUGGUUACGUAAUCGCAUAGAGAGUACAAUUGGAAAUUAUGUAACUAAUCCUAUGAUGUGAACCCGCCAGUAAAUGCCUGAACCAUGCGAUUUCAUUAAUUAAUGUUCAACGUCCCUUCGAGUGUCUCCUGCAAUUUUUUUUUAAAUUCUGGAAACGAUCAGAGAAUCGAUGGAAAAUAAUUUUUUUUUUAACUGAAUAAUUAUUUAUCAACGUAUUAUCUGAAUAGUCGUUAAAAGGAAAUUAAUAAUAUUUUAGAUUUUAUUCGCGAACGGCGGACCGUUAUUCGAUCAAUGGAUCGCAUUUAUUACAUCACGAGAAUCAGUACACGUGGAUCAGUGGCACAGCAGAUUAUACGUUUACGCAACGAAAAUGAGGUGAAACGUGUAUCCCAUUUUUAGCAUUUCAAAAUGCCGUCUAUAAUGGUAAUAUCUUGAAUAAUGGUCAAGGCAGAGAAUUACAAAUGGAAGAGGAUAUAACCAAAGUAGUAAAAGCAAAAGAACAGGUGUGCACAGCAGGAAUCGAACUAUUCGAUUCUUACGAGCUCCACGUCGCAAAUACACGUAAGUAAAAGGUAUGUAACGAGUACGCUCGCACGUGAUGAUGCCUCUGGUUUGCGUACAACUGCACUUGUAACGCGAUUAAUAGAGAUCGAUCGAAUUUACUUAUGGUCUUUAACUACGACUGGUUUCGUUGUAUACGUGCGUAUGUAACAUGUUGCGUUACAUAAGAUAACGGCAACUUAGUCAGAAGACACGCACACUUGGUCCCCUUAAAUUUCAAAGCAAUAUAUUCUUUCGGCAUCGAAUUUUCUAUCAGUCGGACUUGAGACGCACCUCGUCUAGAAAUAAAGUGAAGAAUACAUUUGUUCUACUCGUAGGAAAUCAUAGACUAUUAAUACCUUGCGUUCUCUUUGGUAUUGAUAAAGUUAAUAAUUCUGUGAGCUAAAUAUUUACAUUUCUUUCAAUUGCUUCUACAAUUCAAUGCGUUAUAAAAACUCAAAACUACUUUAUUACAAAAAAUUGAUAUGUAUGUACUGAUAUUUU
Molecule: long non-coding RNA, 3385 nt
Organism: Frieseomelitta varia
Lineage: Eukaryota; Metazoa; Arthropoda; Insecta; Hymenoptera; Apidae
Exons: 3
Source: RefSeq, a predicted model, not a curated record